This 603-nucleotide long non-coding RNA is filed under the name Coturnix japonica (Japanese quail). RNAcentral's name for it is "lncRNA (ENSCJPG00005017098.1)". Lineage: Eukaryota; Metazoa; Chordata; Aves; Galliformes; Phasianidae. The record is from RNAcentral.
GCAAACCUAUAACUGAAUGCAACUGAGUCAUCUGAAUACACUGCAGCAGUCCUCAAAUUAAGAGGAAGCCUAAAUCCUACCUUUUCACCUAUGAGAGCACGUAGGUACAUCCUAAGAGACAGCACUUGCAGAGCUCCCCUCUUUGGCAGCUGCGAGAAGCCACAGCCUGUAACAGAGGGAACUGGCAGCCCAUCCAAGGACAAGUCAUCCUCAGGGGAAACCAAGGCCACUGCACCAUCCAUGCUGUAACAUCAGCCACCCACUUCUGAGAGCAUCCUGGACAGGGUAUGGAGCCUGCCCUCAGUUUUCUCUGAUCUCCUGAAGGAUUCCUCUAAAUCUUCAGUAUCUGUUGUGAGCAGUAAAUCAACAGCAGAGCUCCCGAUGCCUUUACUGGGGAACAGGAUCAGCAUUUUUCCCUGUAAAGAGCCAGUGUUCUCCAGCCGUGUCGACACCUGGAAUUUUUGGCUGAGGAUCCUCACCACUGUGAACAUUUUGAUCAAUUGCUGGAUUCUGCAGUGGGAUUCUUCUUUGGAUUUUACCACAGGUAUUUUCUUUGUAAUUUCUUUGGCUGCAGUUCAUUUAGAAGUACUUGUACGUACUUCU